Molecule: ribosomal RNA, 567 nt
Filed under: Salmonella enterica
Lineage: Bacteria; Pseudomonadati; Pseudomonadota; Gammaproteobacteria; Enterobacterales; Enterobacteriaceae
Description: partial 23S ribosomal RNA
Rfam family: Bacterial large subunit ribosomal RNA
Source: RNAcentral
GCUUAUGCGUUGUUGGGUAGGGGAGCGUUCUGUAAGCCUGUGAAGGUGGCCUGUGAGGGUUGCUGGAGGUAUCAGAAGUGCGAAUGCUGACAUAAGUAACGAUAAAGCGGGUGAAAAGCCCGCUCGCCGGAAGACCAAGGGUUCCUGUCCAACGUUAAUCGGGGCAGGGUGAGUCGACCCCUAAGGCGAGGCCGAAAGGCGUAGUCGAUGGGAAACGGGUUAAUAUUCCCGUACUUGGUGUUACUGCGAAGGGGGGACGGAGAAGGCUAUGUUGGCCGGGCGACGGUUGUCCCGGUUUAAGCGUGUAGGUGUGUGUUCCAGGUAAAUCCGGUUCACUUUAACACUGAGGCGUGACGACGAGGCACUACGGUGCUGAAGCAACAAAUGCCCUGCUUCCAGGAAAAGCCUCUAAGCAUCAGGUAACAUCAAAUCGUACCCCAAACCGACACAGGUGGUCAGGUAGAGAAUACCAAGGCGCUUGAGAGAACUCGGGUGAAGGAACUAGGCAAAAUGGUGCCGUAACUUCGGGAGAAGGCACGCUGACAUGUAGGUGAAGUGAUUUACUCA